Molecule: ribosomal RNA, 555 nt
Filed under: uncultured bacterium
Lineage: Bacteria
Description: partial 16S ribosomal RNA
Rfam family: Bacterial small subunit ribosomal RNA
Source: RNAcentral
UAGGGAAUCUUCCACAAUGGACGCGAGUCUGAUGGAGCAACGGCCGCGUGAGUGAAGAAGGUUUUCGGACCGUAAAGCUCUGUUGUUGGUGAAGAAGGAUAGAGGUAGUAACUGGCCUUUAUUUGACGGUAAUCAACCAGAAAGUCACGGCUAACUACGUGCCAGCAGCCGCGGUAAUACGUAGGUGGCAAGCGUUGUCCGGAUUUAUUGGGCGUAAAGCGAGCGCAGGCGGAAGAAUAAGUCUGAUGUGAAAGCCCUCGGCUUAACCGAGGAAUUGCAUCGGAAACUGUUUUCUUGAGUGCAGAAGAGGAGAGUAGAACUCCAUGUGUAGCGGUGGAAUGCGUAGAUAUAUGGAAGAAUACCAGUGGCGAAGGCGGCUCUCUGGUCUGCAACUGACGCUGAGGCUCGAAAGCAUGGGUAGCGAACAGGAUUAGAUACCCUGGUAGUCCAUGCCGUAAACGAUGAGUGCUAAGUGUUGGGAGGCUUCCGCCUCUCAGUGCUGCAGCUAACGCAUUAAGCACUCCGCCUGGGGGAGUACGACCGCAAGGUUGAAAC